RNAcentral lists this ribosomal RNA (366 nucleotides) under uncultured fungus. Its description in RNAcentral is "eukaryotic LSU rRNA". It matches the Rfam family "Eukaryotic large subunit ribosomal RNA", at positions 40 to 398 of the family's 3401-position model. The record is from RNAcentral. Lineage: Eukaryota; Fungi.
AUAUCAAUAAGCGGAGGAAAAGAAACUAACAAGGAUUCCCCUAGUAACUGCGAGUGAAGCGGGAAGAGCUCAAAUUUAAAAUCUGGCGUGCCUCUGGUCGUCCGAGUUGUAGUCUGGAGAAGCGUUUUCCGUGUUGGACCGUGUAUAAGUCUCUUGGAACAGGGCGUCAUAGAGGGUGAGAAUCCCGUCUUUGACACGGACUACCAAUGCUUUGUGAUGCGCUCUCAAAGAGUCGAGUUGUUUGGGAAUGCAGCUCAAAAUGGGUGGUAAAUUCCAUCUAAAGCUAAAUAUAGGCGAGAGACCGAUAGCGAACAAGUACCGUGAGGGAAAGAUGAAAAGCACUUUGGAAAGAGAGUUAAACAGUAC